AAAAAUUUAGUUAAAAAAUAACAUUAGUUUGUCAAACUAAAAUUAUUUUAUAUUUAGAAAUAAUUUUUU
This 69-nucleotide transfer RNA is filed under the name Atrecus affinis. RNAcentral describes it as "tRNA-Asp". Lineage: Eukaryota; Metazoa; Arthropoda; Insecta; Coleoptera; Staphylinidae. The record is from RNAcentral.